Long non-coding RNA from Perca flavescens (yellow perch), 1443 nucleotides. RefSeq lists it as uncharacterized. The record is from RefSeq and is a predicted model, not a curated record. Lineage: Eukaryota; Metazoa; Chordata; Actinopteri; Perciformes; Percidae. The transcript has 4 exons.
CCCAACUCCUCCUCUCCCUCCCCUCCACACCUUUAGACCGUACCCAUGGGUGUUCCUCAUUUUAUGGGGACUCACCCCACCUUCAGCAUGCCUGGGGCACCAGGAGCUCCCAUGAUGCCCAUGGUGAGGCCAGGCUUCCCUGCCACUGGAGCAACUCCCGGAACACCGAUGUCUCCCGGAGCGGCCCAGAGCCCCAGAAAGCCUGCACCACCGAGGAACGCUCUGGAUGACCUCAACAUUAAGGACUUCAUGUAGACUGGCUGACCUGUAAAAACCCCCAAGGUAUAUAAGAAGUGGCAACUUAAAGAAUCAAUAUGUAUUAUUUUUGCUUGUCAUGGCAAAUGUUAUGGAGCAGAAUCCUCUGUUGUACCAAACAUUAGCCACAUGUGAGACAUGUUUAAUCCUGCAGUCUUGGCAAGAUAACAGGGUUAAUGCACCCUGAAUGUGAAAAUCUGAAAUGUCACAAGGUGAUUAAAGGAAGUGAUGUUUACUUUCAGCUCUUUAGGCCUUUGAAAAUACUAGAAAAUGAAACAAUCUCAGAAGGAAAAAUUACUUUUUAGAUUUGCUCACAACCCAUGUCUGCACUAAAGACAUAAUCUAAUCUGAAUGACAAAUAGACAUCUUGUUUUAAAGGGGAACACAGUUGUAUAAUGUAUUCUGCUGCUCUGGGAGCUUUGUCAGGUCUGAGAGGAUAACCUGAGAUCAUAGUGCUGUCGUCAGGAUUAUCUCGGCUUGGCCUUGGAGACUACAAAUCUAUAACAGUUUGUCAGUGUGUCUGGAGCUCUGUGGAUGUGGAUGUCUGCACUUCCCCCACCGCCUUCCCCUCAGUCAUGCCCCAGCCCCUUCAGCCAACCAGCCAUUACAUCCACGAUCUUUGCCCUCUGACCUCCUACCAGCCGCCAACCCUAAAAAAAGCCCUGUCCUCCUUAUCUAAUGUUGUAGCACAACUGUGAAUGUGAACCCUAGAUACAGAAAAACAAAACUCAGUUUAUGUGUGUGUGGGUGUGUGUGUAAUUCAGUGUUAUCCUUUACUUAAUAUACUAUGGAAAAUGAACAAAAAAAAUAAAUAAAUGUGUAUUCAGAUUCAUUCUGGAUUUCCAUGUAUCAGCUGACUUGGAAUGGUGGAUAAACGUUGGUUUCUUGACGCAUCUCCCAGACGAGGACUGUGUUGUUAAAUGUGGAUUGUGUUCGGUGUGUGUAACUUCACUGGCCAACCCCCACCCCCACCCCUCUGCCCCUGUUGUCCAAACUAAUACUGAGCUAUGUUUAUGUCAUUAAAAAAACUUGGUUGUACCUAUAUCUGCUUGGCCAUCCAUCCUCCCACCUGUCUACUUUCAAGUUUUUGGAGAACAAAUGCACCUGGUAACAACUUGCACUGCAAAUCUGGACUUAUCAUCAAACAUUAAAUUGUGUUCAGUUUAAUUUGUUUUUUUAGGGAUUGUA